GCCGGGGUCUCCUAGUCCGGUAGGGAGCAGGCCUGGAGAGCCUGUGGCCCACUCUGGGCCGCGUGGGUUCAAAUCCCACCCCCGGCGCCA
RNAcentral lists this transfer RNA (90 nucleotides) under Candidatus Bathyarchaeota archaeon. Its description in RNAcentral is "tRNA-Ser". It matches the Rfam family "tRNA". From Rfam's summary of the family: Transfer RNA (tRNA) molecules are approximately 80 nucleotides in length. Their secondary structure includes four short double-helical elements and three loops (D, anti-codon, and T loops). Lineage: Archaea; Thermoproteati; Candidatus Bathyarchaeota. RNAcentral also lists the same sequence under 1 other name. The record is from RNAcentral.